This 275-nucleotide ribosomal RNA is filed under the name Atrichopogon lucorum. RNAcentral describes it as "partial 16S ribosomal RNA". Lineage: Eukaryota; Metazoa; Arthropoda; Insecta; Diptera; Ceratopogonidae. The record is from RNAcentral.
AGAGGCUUGUAUGAAUGGUUGAAUGAGAUAAAAAUUGUCUUAAUAUAAAAUAAAAUUGAAUUUUAAAUUUUAAUAAAAAUGUUAAAAUAUAAAUAAAAGACGAGAAGACCCUAUAAAUCUUUAUUUUUUAACUAAUUAUAUUUUUGCAUAAAUCAUUAAAUUUAAUUAAUUAAAAAAUUUUAUUGGGGUGAUAAUGAAAUUUAAUUAACUUUCAUAAAAUAAAUGAUAUAUAUAUAAAUAAAUAAUUGAUCCAUUAUUAAUGAUUAAUAAAAUAA